GAUGAACGCUGGCGGCGUGCCUAAUACAUGCAAGUCGAGCGAACAGACGAGGCGCUUGCUCCUCUGACGUUAGCGGCGGACGGGUGAGUAACACGUGUAUAACCCACCUAUAAGACUGGGAUAACUUCGGGAAACCGGAGCUAAUACCGGAUAAUAUAUUGAACCGCAUGGUUCAAUAGUGAAAGACGGUUUUGCUGUCACUUAUAGAUGGUUCCGCGCCGCAUUAGCUAGUUGGUAAGGUAACGGCUUACCAAGGGGACGAUGCGUAGCCGAACUGUGAGGCUGAUAGGCCACACGGGAACUGGGACACGGUCCAGCCUCCUGCGGGAGGGAGCAGUAGGGAACCUUCCGCAAUGGGCGAAAGCCUUACGGAGCAACGCCGCGUGAGUGAUGACGGUCUUCGGAUCGUAAAGCUCUGUUAUUAGGGAAGAACAAAUGUGUAAGUAACUAUGCACGUCUUGACGGUACCUAAUCAGAAAGCCCCGGCUAACUACGUG
RNAcentral lists this ribosomal RNA (497 nucleotides) under uncultured bacterium. RNAcentral's name for it is "partial 16S ribosomal RNA". It matches the Rfam family "Bacterial small subunit ribosomal RNA", at positions 28 to 507 of the family's 1533-position model. The record is from RNAcentral.